Long non-coding RNA from Oxyura jamaicensis (ruddy duck), 940 nucleotides. RefSeq lists it as uncharacterized. NCBI's taxonomy places the organism in Eukaryota, Metazoa, Chordata, Aves, Anseriformes, Anatidae. The transcript has 2 exons. The record is from RefSeq and is a predicted model, not a curated record.
CGGGUGCCUGCCUUCAGCCCUGUCUGGGUCACUCAGCCUUACACCAAAGCUCUGUCUCCUGCAGCUUUUCUAGGGGCUGGGCAUGCCUGGGGUUGUUGCAGGUCUUAUCUCUGACUCAGCCCCUGUGAGUCAUGCCCCUUGGUAUUCCCACAGCUUGUGAGGGUAUCUCCUUGGACUCUGCUUGGAUCCUCCUAGCUUUUGAUGAGCAGCUAGCCCCUGCUGCUCCUUAACAAGUAGUGCUAGGUUCAAGAGAUCCACCCUAUCAGAUGCCAUGCACAAUUAUUCAGCUGGCUGCCUGCACUGACUUUCAACCAGAAUUGGUUGGGCUGCUUUCUCUGGGUCACUGAAUGGUUGAGAAAUGAGUUAACACCAAAGACCCUGAGAGAGGCAGCAAUCUCUACCAAAUGAGGAAGCGACUUACCUGAAAAUCUGUAGAGGUAUAUGCAUCUUUGAACAAAUAUAAAAAUCAUGACUGCACUGGCGAGAUAACCAGGAGGAUUAAAUGUGUACCAGCUUACUGUUUCACAGGAGAACUUCAAACUUGGUCUCUAGCCUUCCCUCAAACAAUCUACUCUAAGAUACCAACUCCAGACAAAAAAAAAAAAAAAAAAAAAAAAAAGUUUUCCUAGCUUCUUCCAGAAGCUAUGUGCAGGGAACUGAAAGAUGGCUAGAGAGGUAACUAGCCCAAAGGAAGACAUGCUUUCAGCUUUCUCUGAGAUGCCCCCAGUCCUCGUCACUGUCUGGUUUCCCUGUCAGACAGAUUUAGUGCAACGAACUUAUAACUCCUGGUAAAGAGACUAGACAUAAACCUUCCCGUUUGUUGCAUGAUGGAAUUACUCUGCUGUAAACGAGCAAUGAAUAAAUGUACUAAAAGAAAGCAUCACUUUUUGUGGGUUCACAUAGUAUACAAUAAAAAUAUAUGGUCCCCCAGUUAUAAAAU